GUAGGGAAUCUUCCACAAUGGACGAAAGUCUGAUGGAGCAAUGCCGCGUGAGUGAAGAAGGGUUUCGGCUCGUAAAACUCUGUUGUUAAAGAAGAACACCUUUGAGAGUAACUGUUCAAGGGUUGACGGUAUUUAACCAGAAAGCCACGGCUAACUACGUGCCAGCAGCCGCGGUAAUACGUAGGUGGCAAGCGUUGUCCGGAUUUAUUGGGCGUAAAGCGAGCGCAGGCGGUUUUUUAAGUCUGAUGUGAAAGCCUUCGGCUUAACCGGAGAAGUGCAUCGGAAACUGGGAGACUUGAGUGCAGAAGAGGACAGUGGAACUCCAUGUGUAGCGGUGGAAUGCGUAGAUAUAUGGAAGAACACCAGUGGCGAAGGCGGCUGUCUAGUCUGUAACUGACGCUGAGGCUCGAAAGCAUGGGUAGCGAACAGGAUUAGAUACCCGGGUAGUCC
Molecule: ribosomal RNA, 450 nt
Filed under: uncultured bacterium
Lineage: Bacteria
Description: partial 16S ribosomal RNA
Rfam family: Bacterial small subunit ribosomal RNA
Source: RNAcentral